GAUGAACGCUGGCGGCGUGCCUAAUACAUGCCAGUCGAGCGAACAGAUGAGGAGCUUGCUCCUCUGACGUUAGCGGCGGACGGGUGAGUAACACGUGGAUAACCCACCUAUAAGACUGGGAUAACUUCGGGAAACCGGAGCUAAUACCGGAUAAUAUAUUGAACCGCAUGGUUCAAUAGUGAAAGACGGUUUUGCUGUCACUUAUAGAUGGAUCCGCGCCGCAUUAGCUAGUUGGUAAGGUAACGGCUUACCAAGGCAACGAUGCGUAGCCGACCUGAGAGGGUGAUCGGCCACACUGGAACUGAGACACGGUCCAGACUCCUACGGGAGGCAGCAGUAGGGAAUCUUCGGCAAUGGGCGGAAGCCUGACGGAGCAACGCCGCGUGAGUGAUGAAGGUCUUCGGAUCGUAAAGCUCUGUUAUUAGGGAAGAACAAAUGUGUAAGUAACUAUGCACGUCUUGACGGUACCUAAUCAGAAAGCCACGGCUAACUACGUG
Molecule: ribosomal RNA, 497 nt
Filed under: uncultured bacterium
Lineage: Bacteria
Description: partial 16S ribosomal RNA
Rfam family: Bacterial small subunit ribosomal RNA
Source: RNAcentral